AGUUGAAACUGAGUUUUUCUGAUGACAUGAGAGAAGAUGGAACUUAUGUGUCAACAGGGUCAUUUGUCAUGUACAACUGCGCAAGGCUGAUUAUGCUGUUUGCUCACUUCCAACAGGCUGUUGAUAAUGGUACCUUUCCUCCGUUACCUGAGCUGGAAAAGAUUGACUUUUCUACUUUGAGAGAAGAGGUAGUUUUAAGCUCCCCUUAGAGCUGUAGACUGAGGCAAGAGUGGUCGCUGUUGUUGACUUACGUGUUCACUUUUCCGGACCUUGUACAGCAAACCAUCCAGAACAUGGAACCCUCUGACACCACAACGCUCAACAUACAUACACAUAAGAUGUGCCAGAUGCUGGGAAGUCUAAGCAGAUGUUUGAGUUCAUAUUAUUCAAGAUACCAUGUUCUUGGGGAGGCAAGGCCCCACUUGUACCCACAGAUGUUUGCCCGCCUGUACCUGCUGAAGGCAGUACACCAGGUCCUGGUCAAUGGCCUGCAGCUGAUUGCCGUCUCACCGCUCUCUCAGGUGUAGACAACAUGUCACAAUGUAUGUGUCUAGGAAAGGGUGCAAUUCUUGGGUAAACAGUUACAAAUAAGCCAUGGUUUUGGGCACUCCUGAUUCGCUCAGUAAAACUGUGAUACUUCUGUUUGAACAAACUUUUUGAUUAAGACAGUGGAGAAAAAUAGAAGACGGAGUUGGAUAAACAACAGAUGGAACAGCCGGAUUAAAUGGUUGUGUAGGAAGUGACGUUAAUUCUCAAAGAAAGGCAAAGAAGUUCAAGAUUGUAAACCCUGCACAUCAAGUAGGACAAUUGACCGCCACGUUCAUGCUAGAGUAUUGAAACAGAACACAAACAAGCUUGGCACAUGUAUGUUUAUGUGAGCAAUUUUGAAGAGAUAAAUGAGGUUGGCUAUUUUUCAUAAAAUUACCUUUCUGGGGUGAAGGCCAGUACUUAUAAUUGCAAGGAGACAUAAUGUUGACAUCAGGAUUCAUACAGCAGUGCAAUCUUAUAACAAACAUGUUAGGGAAGUCAAUCAUUAAUUAAUAUGGGGACUUAUAGUGCAAUUAUUAACAGAUUCCUAUUUCUCAAACACUCAUGUAUCAGGCCCCACCAGCCAGUAUUUGCCAGACUUUCGCAGCGUGUUCUAGGCUGACCAAAGAGAGAAUCUUCAUUUUUAUUAAUGCCACAUCAACGAUGACUUUCUUUUUAUUUAACCACUUCAACUAGACAAUGCUGAAACUUAUGGUAGUGUAAUUGUGAGAAGCAAACUAUUUGAUCACUAGGUUGCUAAAAUUUGUUUUGAAAACAUUGGAAGUUUGUUAAACAUGAACUAUAUAAAAAUUUUAUGUCAAUACAUUGUUCAUAAGUGAAUUAGUUGUUGACCUUUGUCUGUAUAUUUCAUGCCUUUUAUUAUUAAAAAUAUC
This is an RNA transcript of Mya arenaria, 1421 nucleotides long. It is a transcript of the gene named DALR anticodon-binding domain-containing protein 3-like, with no coding region annotated. NCBI's taxonomy places the organism in Eukaryota, Metazoa, Mollusca, Bivalvia, Myida, Myidae. The transcript has 6 exons. The record is from RefSeq and is a predicted model, not a curated record.